RNAcentral lists this ribosomal RNA (403 nucleotides) under uncultured bacterium. RNAcentral's name for it is "bacterial SSU rRNA". It matches the Rfam family "Bacterial small subunit ribosomal RNA", at positions 355 to 774 of the family's 1533-position model. The record is from RNAcentral.
UAGGGAAUAUUGCAAAAUGGGCGAAAGCCCGAUGCAGCAACGCCGCGUGGGCGAUGAAGGCCUUCGGGUCGUAAAGCCCUUUUUGAGGGGAUGAGGAAGGACAGUACCCUCAGAAUAAGCCUCGGCUAACUACGUGCCAGCAGCCGCGGUAAAACGUAGGAGGCGGGCGUUAUCCGGAUUUACUGGGCGUAAAGCGCGUGCAGGCGGAUUGGAGAGUUGGAUGUGAAAGCUCCCGGCUUAACUGGGAGAGGUCGUUCAAUACUUCCAGUCUUGAGUGCAGUAGAGGGAAGUGGAAUUCCGGGUGUAGUGGUGAAAUGCGUAGAUAUCCGGAGGAACACCAGUGGCGAAAGCGGCUUCCUGGACUGUAACUGACGCUCAGACGCGAAAGCUAGGGUAGCAAACG